Molecule: transfer RNA, 71 nt
Filed under: Cordylochernes scorpioides
Lineage: Eukaryota; Metazoa; Arthropoda; Arachnida; Pseudoscorpiones; Chernetidae
Description: tRNA-Gly
Rfam family: tRNA
About the family: Transfer RNA (tRNA) molecules are approximately 80 nucleotides in length.
Source: RNAcentral
CCAUCGGUGGUUCAGUGGUAGAAUGCUCGCCUGCCACGCGGGUGCCCCGGGUUCGAUUCCCGGCCGAUGCU